Molecule: long non-coding RNA, 368 nt
Organism: Daktulosphaira vitifoliae (grape phylloxera)
Lineage: Eukaryota; Metazoa; Arthropoda; Insecta; Hemiptera; Phylloxeridae
Exons: 3
Source: RefSeq, a predicted model, not a curated record
AUCAAAGCUUAAUAACACGAAAAUCUAGUUAUUUUUCUACAGUGAAAACGGAAACAAUAACUGUGUGAAAAAAAAUGUGAACCAUAAAUUUUAGUAAUAUGUCAAAACCGCACGAACAUACAAAUCAUUUAACUAACUAAAAUUUUAAAAUCAAGAAACUAUGGUAAUUGUUAGGAAAAAAGUUGAUUUUUUCAGUGACAAAAACAAAGCAUUACAAUAAAUUACAUCGGUAUCCUUACGUUUUAUGGAGUAAAUUACAUAAACCAUACUAUUGUUCGAUGGGAGGAGCUUAACUAAUAAGUAUACUCAUAAAUAUAGACAAUAGAUUACACUUAAGUAUAACUAUGAGACGUUAAAUAGAAACCAUG